AGUGAACGCUGGCGGUAGGCCUAACACAUGCAAGUCGAACGGCAGCACAGUAAGAGCUUGCUCUUACGGGUGGCGAGUGGCGGACGGGUGAGGAAUACAUCGGAAUCUACUUUUUCGUGGGGGAUAACGUAGGGAAACUUACGCUAAUACCGCAUACGACCUACGGGUGAAAGCAGGGGAUCUUCGGACCUUGCGCGAUUGAAUGAGCCGAUGUCGGAUUAGCUAGUUGGCGGGGUAAAGGCCCACCAAGGCGACGAUCCGUAGCUGGUCCGAGAGGAUGAUCAGCCACACUGGAACUGAGACACGGUCCAGACUCCUACGGAGGCAGCAGUGGGGAAUAUUGGACAAUGGGCGCAAGCCUGAUCCAGCCAUACCGCGUGGGUGAAGAAGGCCUUCGGGUUGUAAAGCCCUUUUGUUGGGAAAGAAAAGCAGCAGGUUAAUACCCCGCUGUUCUGACGGUACCCAAAGAAUAAGCACCGGCUAACUUCGUG
RNAcentral lists this ribosomal RNA (491 nucleotides) under uncultured bacterium. Its description in RNAcentral is "partial 16S ribosomal RNA". It matches the Rfam family "Bacterial small subunit ribosomal RNA", at positions 29 to 507 of the family's 1533-position model. The record is from RNAcentral.